This 839-nucleotide long non-coding RNA is filed under the name Daphnia magna. Its description in RNAcentral is "uncharacterized LOC116918918, transcript variant X3". Lineage: Eukaryota; Metazoa; Arthropoda; Branchiopoda; Diplostraca; Daphniidae. The record is from RNAcentral.
CGCGUUGAUGUCGACGGCGUGAGAGUUCCCGGGACACAAAAAGAAGGGAGAGAUUUUCAUGUACAAUACACCUCCAUUUUCGUGCCCAACAGCUUUUCACCUUUCCUGGAUUUACAGUUGAGGAAAUUCCGCCUCCUUUACACAAGUUCGCCAUUUUCUUCACUACAGCCCCUAGUGGCAAGAGCACACAAAAAAUGAAUGGAUUUACAGAGAAUUGAGCCAUCAUUGGGCAAGUAUUGCGUAUUACUCGGUCGUCACAUAUUAAAAUUCUGUCGGUUUCGGUGGGAAACCUAAUACGCAGCAGCCAACGAAUAUCCAAGCCAGAAAGGGAUCCUACGUCGCGGUUAAGCAACCAACCCAAUCACACACUGCUAACGAGAAAAGAGAUCCGUAAGGAAAUAAAGCCAGCUGGAAAAACCCCGACUAAGAGGCUUUAUGCAUUUACGUGAACAACCAACCCACACAUACACACAUAGGAAAAGCCAUAAAAAUUGAACGGUAUAUACCCGUAGUAUGUCACGGGAGCGUGCGUCAACGAGUGGGGGUGGGGGACCUUAUGGCCCGCCACCCCCGACCGAAAUAAUUGAUGAUCGCCCUCAUCAUCUUCAAUAUCCUCGUAGAGGUCCAAGCCGCUUUUCCUCGCAACAGUCGAGUACUACCAGUAGUAGAUUUUAAAAAAAGAGCUAUAGCCCCUAUCUAGCUGUUUCUUUGCUGCUGUGCGUAUGAUUUAUUUCCACAUUAUUAUUAUUAUUAUUACCAAACAUGUUGCGUUUUUUUUCUUUCUUUUCUCGUAAGGGAUUCUUCCCUAGACGAAAUGUAUACAUUGUCCUUGUUUGCUG